GGAAGGAAGGAAGGAAGGAAGGAGAAGAGAAAGGAAGGAAGGAAGAAAAGUUCAAAGAAAAAUUCAAAUCUCUCUCCUAGCCUUACUCUCUUCAGCUCUUCAGAGGACCAAAGUCCACAGCCUCAACUCACUGAAGAGCCCACGUCCUGACUGUGGUCUAGCAGCUUGCUAAAUAGUCCCAUGACUUAGGGGGUACAGGCUGACUUCCUUCCAUCAUUUUGUUGUUUCAACUUCGGCAUGGUGGCUGUGUCUAAAUGAACUGCUAUUUCAGCCAGCAGUUACCAGCCUGCUUCCCUAGCAUUGACCUGGCUCCGCAGGCCACAGCCUGAUGGGAACUCUGUUCUGCAGGCCCUGCAGACAGUGCUCUGUCACAGAUGCUAAAGGUAACUUUAACUAAAUCUCGAUUGUUCUAGCUAUACAUAAGACUCAAGAUUCAAAGGUUGGGGUGAAAACCUGCUAGCUCAGAGAGGCUGGGUCACAGCUAGCUAGCCUUCUCUCCUUGCUUGCUUCUGUUAGUAUUCAAACAUCUGCACUGGCCUGACCUUGGGGUGUACAUCCCCAGCUGUACCCCACUAAGAGCACCACCUGUGCACAUUCCCUACAUUCUCUUUUAAAGGCCUGCUCACCUUCCAUCCCUCCUUUCUCUUACUGUCUAUCUGUAUGUCCGUCCAUCCAUGUGCCUCUCUCUCCCUUCCCCUCCUCUCUUCUCUUCUGUCCCCAGAGGCCACUACCCCCUCCCUUUUCCCCCUUUUCCCAUUCACUUUCCUCUAAUAAAGAACCCAUCCAUCUGAGCUCUGUCACAUGGCGUCUUUCUCUCUCAUACCAGUUUUUUAUAAUUUAUAGCAACUUCUGCUUUGCCAAACCUGAAAAAAAUUGUGCCACUCUAAAUCCUGCCUUGCUGCUUCCUCUGUCUUUCUGUUUCUUCUAGAUGCCCGCUGGGGAUGGAUCUAUGAUUACUUUCUGUCAACUAGUUGCUAACUCAGCCUCCUGAUCCAAGAAAUGAUUUCCAUCUUUACUGGAGAAAACUAUUCAAACCAGCCUCUAUACGUGCAGAACUGGAAAGUCAACAGAAAAUCAGGAAACUGGAGUGACUCAGACUGGAGGUGCCUGCCGAGUUAACUCAUUCCAUAGCAUGGACUGACACGGACAUAAUUUAAAGCCAGAAGGCUUGUCCAAAGUUCCAGCUCUGAGUGGAGGUUGUCUGAUUUUGAUUGAUGGCAUAGGACCAGGAGUUUGGAACACUUAUUGUGACUGAACCAGGACUCAUCACGGCCAGGCAGAUGGCAUGCCGCAUUCCUGUGAUUUUUAUAAUUCUAGCUAAGGCCCUUGGACAUGAGAAGCUCUUGGAUUCGGAACUCUUCAGUUGCUUCUGGACCCUAUACCGGCUCCUAUGACCCCAAUACAUCUGGCUAUUUCCUCAGACCACAAAUCUCAAAAUAGACAACCAGGAACCUCAAUGAACCAGGAUGGUUCCAACCAGUAGGCAGAAUCCCACUCAGAUUCUUACCGAGUAGCGAGGCCAGGAGGGGCUGGCCUGACCUUAGCUCCAGGGGUUUGGCAAACCCUGAAUAGGUCCUUCGGUAUCAAUAAGUUUUCCAAAUUAAAGUUUUCUUUGAAGGCAAACCAUAAACUUAGAGGGAGUUCUAUAACACUAUAUCUUUAUUAAUGCACUAUUCUAUCUUCGUGAUUUGUACCUUUCUUUUCUUCUAUUUUUCUUUUUUGGACAUAUAUGUCAUAGAUUUGCUUUAUUCAUAGCAAAGUAAUCAUGAAGAGAGGGUUAAGAAUCAUCAAAUAGGAUUAAUAUAGUAAAAAUGACCAGCCUUCCAAAAGUAAUCCACAAUUUCAAUGCCAUAUCCAUAAAAAUUUCAACAUGUUUCUUCACAGAACUUGAAAGGACAACUUCCAAUAUCCAGGAGGAUAACUAUAUGAUUUUCUUUAGG
Myodes glareolus (Bank vole) is the source of this 1940-nucleotide long non-coding RNA. RefSeq lists it as uncharacterized. NCBI's taxonomy places the organism in Eukaryota, Metazoa, Chordata, Mammalia, Rodentia, Cricetidae. The record is from RefSeq and is a predicted model, not a curated record.